Lathyrus oleraceus (garden pea) is the source of this 871-nucleotide long non-coding RNA. RefSeq lists it as uncharacterized. The transcript is spliced from 3 exons. NCBI's taxonomy places the organism in Eukaryota, Viridiplantae, Streptophyta, Magnoliopsida, Fabales, Fabaceae. The record is from RefSeq and is a predicted model, not a curated record.
CAACACCUCUCUCAAAAAGUGGUAAACACCACUAAGGUUCUCUCUCCGUCCCACUAUCCCCGUCUCCGUCUCACCAUCUUCUUCCUCGUCUCCGUCCCACCGUCUCUCCAUCCACCAUGCUGAAGUUGUCCCACCGUCUCUCUAUAACAUUGAAGUCGUCUCUUCGUCUUCAUCUUAUUCGUCUCACCGUCUCUCCAUCCACGAACAACGAAACUCUCUCACUUAUCACCAAACGAAGAAAACAACUUCUCUCUCAAGGUUGAGUGCUUUAUUGCUGAAACUAUGGCACCAUCAAAAAAUGAUUAUGAAACUGAAGUACGAAUGAGACAUAGCUGUAUCCUGGUGAAUUUGAGCAGCAUCAAUGAAAAGUUAACCGCAACUUAACGUGCUCACAUCGAAUGCACCCCAUUCAAAUGGGCGAUGGGUAUUUCUAACAGCUUAUCAAUCUCAGGUGGUUUAUUAUGGGAGUUAGUAAGUAGAUGGAACAUAUGUAGUAGGGGAUUUAGGGUUAGGGAUAUGAUAGUUUCCUUUACUCCAGUUGAUGUUUCUUUUGUUCUUGGAUUGUCUAUUAUUGGUAAGUCUCUAGUAGUAGAAGAAGAUCAAUAAUGUUCAAGAUGAUCGACAACUUGCGAACUUUAUCACUGAAGAUGAAGUAGGAACUUUUGCUGGAGAUGUUGGACAUAACACUCCACUUAAUGAUGAUGCCAAUGUUGCGGAAAACCAAUCAAAGUCUAAAUCCAACAUGGCUACAAGAAUGAUGAAGAAACCAAUGAAACAUGGAAAAAGAACUAGAAUAAAUUUGUAAAUCAUUAGUGUUGUAGUGUAGAAUUUGUGUAAUAUGUAUUGCAGAAUUUGUACCAAUUAUGACGCG